RNAcentral lists this long non-coding RNA (1036 nucleotides) under Hordeum vulgare. RNAcentral describes it as "long non-coding RNA (HVUL_LNC001364)". Lineage: Eukaryota; Viridiplantae; Streptophyta; Magnoliopsida; Poales; Poaceae. The record is from RNAcentral.
UUUUUCCAGUGUAUGCAAAAUCAAGAAAACCUUCUAUGCCAGCCAAGUAGUGUGCACUUGGUCUAGGAGAACACAGUAACUUUUUAAUAUUUGUUAGAUCCAUCUGACUAGCUGCGUUAAAGUAGCAAAUGUCAUUGUAUAUCUUAUCAUUGUAUGAUGCGAAUUAACAAGCAGAUACUAAACAAAAACGGAAACAACUAAUUUAAUAAAUCUUAUUGCAAUCACCAGUUACAGUCUGUCUUUGUAUAUCUCAAACACCGAAUAAUUUAAUAAAUCUCAUGGCACUCAGUAGAUAGUCUGUCUUUGUAUAUCUCAAUCUACAAUCUUAUGGCAAUCACUAAUUUAAUUGUAUGAUGUGAAUUAACAAGCAGAUAUUAAACAAAAAUAUAUGUACAAAUACUAUGUUUUAAUCAAUCAGCUCACCUCAAACACCGACUGCUUCAGCCUCUUAGGAGUAUCGUGAAUAAUUCACUAUGACCUGCAGGGAAAGUCAGCAUGAGGACAUCCGGAUCUUAGACCCGAUCAAUUGAUGGAUUGAUCGAGUGGAAAACCGAACCAGCGCGAAAAUAUAUUGCAGGAGAAGCACAACAGCGAGUUCUGAAGCUCAAGCCCUCAAACCUGAACCGGUUCGGUCUGACGACGAUGUGGAGAAGCAGCGCGCCGCCCACAGAUUGUGGAGAAGCAGCGUCCAAGGUAAUUGGGCGCCCGGCGAUGUCCUGCGCUCCCGCCGUCUCCUUCUCCCGUCUGUGGACUCGAGCGGGAGAUCUUGCCGCCGGUGAAGGUGUGGAUUUGAGCGCCGAGAGGAGGCGUCGUGGGUUGUGGUCUAGAGUGGCCGGUGGAGGUAUGGAAUCGAGAGGAUGCAAAGCUGGGAGUGGAAUCGAGCGGCCGCGGCACGGCCUCGCGGCGGCGCAGUCAGCGGCCAACGCUCUGGUCAACGGCGGCAGAACAGAGGACCGAGGUAAGAGAUGAGAAAGGAAUCGAUAUAUUCAUCUACGAGAUAAAAGCAUUUCUAGUAAGAACACUCAAACCCUUAAAU